AUACGGAGGGGGCUAGCGUUGUUCGGAAUUACUGGGCGUAAAGCGCACGUAGGCGGAUUAAAAAGUUAGAGGUGAAAUCCCAGGGCUUAACCCUGGAACUGCCUUUAAAACUAGUAGUCUAGAGUUCGAGAGAGGUGAGUGGAAUUCCAAGUGUAGAGGUGAAAUUCGUAGAUAUUUGGAGGAACACCAGUGGCGAAGGCGGCUCACUGGCUCGAUACUGACGCUGAGGUGCGAAAGCGUGGGGAGCAAACAGGAGUAGAAACCCCUGUAGUCC
This 274-nucleotide ribosomal RNA is filed under the name uncultured bacterium. Its description in RNAcentral is "partial 16S ribosomal RNA". It matches the Rfam family "Bacterial small subunit ribosomal RNA", at positions 523 to 796 of the family's 1533-position model. The record is from RNAcentral.